Papio anubis (olive baboon) is the source of this 69-nucleotide Y RNA. It matches the Rfam family "Y RNA". From Rfam's summary of the family: Y RNAs are components of the Ro ribonucleoprotein particle (Ro RNP), in association with Ro60 and La proteins. NCBI's taxonomy places the organism in Eukaryota, Metazoa, Chordata, Mammalia, Primates, Cercopithecidae. The record is from Ensembl.
AGUUGGUUCAAAGGUUGUGGGUUAUUGUUGACAUUGUCUCCUCCAAAACCCACCCUUGACUAGCUCUAA